This 74-nucleotide transfer RNA is filed under the name Muribaculaceae bacterium. Its description in RNAcentral is "tRNA-Phe". It matches the Rfam family "tRNA". From Rfam's summary of the family: Transfer RNA (tRNA) molecules are approximately 80 nucleotides in length. Their secondary structure includes four short double-helical elements and three loops (D, anti-codon, and T loops). Further hydrogen bonds mediate the characteristic L-shaped molecular structure. tRNAs have two regions of fundamental functional importance: the anti-codon, which is responsible for specific mRNA codon recognition, and the 3' end, to which the tRNAs corresponding amino acid is attached (by aminoacyl-tRNA synthetases). tRNAs cope with the degeneracy of the genetic code in two manners: having more than one tRNA (with a specific anti-codon) for a particular amino acid; and 'wobble' base-pairing, i.e. permitting non-standard base-pairing at the 3rd anti-codon position. The record is from RNAcentral. Lineage: Bacteria; Pseudomonadati; Bacteroidota; Bacteroidia; Bacteroidales; Muribaculaceae.
AAUGGCAUAGCUCAGCGGACAGAGCGCUGGGGAUGAAAUCCCGGAGGUCGCCGGUUCGAGUCCGGCUGCCAUUC